This 2127-nucleotide ribosomal RNA is filed under the name Escherichia coli. RNAcentral describes it as "partial 23S ribosomal RNA". It matches the Rfam family "Bacterial large subunit ribosomal RNA", at positions 691 to 2798 of the family's 2925-position model. Lineage: Bacteria; Pseudomonadati; Pseudomonadota; Gammaproteobacteria; Enterobacterales; Enterobacteriaceae. The record is from RNAcentral.
GGCGUUAAGUUGCAGGGUAUAGACCCGAAACCCGGUGAUCUAGCCAUGGGCAGGUUGAAGGUUGGGUAACACUAACUGGAGGACCGAACCGACUAAUGUUGAAAAAUUAGCGGAUGACUUGUGGCUGGGGGUGAAAGGCCAAUCAAACCGGGAGAUAGCUGGUUCUCCCCGAAAGCUAUUUAGGUAGCGCCUCGUGAAUUCAUCUCCGGGGGUAGAGCACUGUUUCGGCAAGGGGGUCAUCCCGACUUACCAACCCGAUGCAAACUGCGAAUACCGGAGAAUGUUAUCACGGGAGACACACGGCGGGUGCUAACGUCCGUCGUGAAGAGGGAAACAACCCAGACCGCCAGCUAAGGUCCCAAAGUCAUGGUUAAGUGGGAAACGAUGUGGGAAGGCCCAGACAGCCAGGAUGUUGGCUUAGAAGCAGCCAUCAUUUAAAGAAAGCGUAAUAGCUCACUGGUCGAGUCGGCCUGCGCGGAAGAUGUAACGGGGCUAAACCAUGCACCGAAGCUGCGGCAGCGACGCUGAUGCGUUGUUGGGUAGGGGAGCGUUCUGUAAGCCUGUGAAGGUGUGCUGUGAGGCAUGCUGGAGGUAUCAGAAGUGCGAAUGCUGACAUAAGUAACGAUAAAGCGGGUGAAAAGCCCGCUCGCCGGAAGACCAAGGGUUCCUGUCCAACGUUAAUCGGGGCAGGGUGAGUCGACCCCUAAGGCGAGGCCGAAAGGCGUAGUCGAUGGGAAACAGGUUAAUAUUCCUGUACUUGGUGUUACUGCGAAGGGGGGACGGAGAAGGCUAUGUUGGCCGGGCGACGGUUGUCCCGGUUUAAGCGUGUAGGCUGGUUUUCCAGGCAAAUCCGGAAAAUCAAGGCUGAGGCGUGAUGACGAGGCACUACGGUGCUGAAGCAACAAAUGCCCUGCUUCCAGGAAAAGCCUCUAAGCAUCAGGUAACAUCAAAUCGUACCCCAAACCGACACAGGUGGUCAGGUAGAGAAUACCAAGGCGCUUGAGAGAACUCGGGUGAAGGAACUAGGCAAAAUGGUGCCGUAACUUCGGGAGAAGGCACGCUGAUAUGUAGGUGAAGUCCCUCGCGGAUGGAGCUGAAAUCAGUCGAAGAUACCAGCUGGCUGCAACUGUUUAUUAAAAACACAGCACUGUGCAAACACGAAAGUGGACGUAUACGGUGUGACGCCUGCCCGGUGCCGGAAGGUUAAUUGAUGGGGUUAGCCGCAAGGCGAAGCUCUUGAUCGAAGCCCCGGUAAACGGCGGCCGUAACUAUAACGGUCCUAAGGUAGCGAAAUUCCUUGUCGGGUAAGUUCCGACCUGCACGAAUGGCGUAAUGAUGGCCAGGCUGUCUCCACCCGAGACUCAGUGAAAUUGAACUCGCUGUGAAGAUGCAGUGUACCCGCGGCAAGACGGAAAGACCCCGUGAACCUUUACUAUAGCUUGACACUGAACAUUGAGCCUUGAUGUGUAGGAUAGGUGGGAGGCUUUGAAGUGUGGACGCCAGUCUGCAUGGAGCCGACCUUGAAAUACCACCCUUUAAUGUUUGAUGUUCUAACGUUGACCCGUAAUCCGGGUUGCGGACAGUGUCUGGUGGGUAGUUUGACUGGGGCGGUCUCCUCCUAAAGAGUAACGGAGGAGCACGAAGGUUGGCUAAUCCUGGUCGGACAUCAGGAGGUUAGUGCAAUGGCAUAAGCCAGCUUGACUGCGAGCGUGACGGCGCGAGCAGGUGCGAAAGCAGGUCAUAGUGAUCCGGUGGUUCUGAAUGGAAGGGCCAUCGCUCAACGGAUAAAAGGUACUCCGGGGAUAACAGGCUGAUACCGCCCAAGAGUUCAUAUCGACGGCGGUGUUUGGCACCUCGAUGUCGGCUCAUCACAUCCUGGGGCUGAAGUAGGUCCCAAGGGUAUGGCUGUUCGCCAUUUAAAGUGGUACGCGAGCUGGGUUUAGAACGUCGUGAGACAGUUCGGUCCCUAUCUGCCGUGGGCGCUGGAGAACUGAGGGGGGCUGCUCCUAGUACGAGAGGACCGGAGUGGACGCAUCACUGGUGUUCGGGUUGUCAUGCCAAUGGCACUGCCCGGUAGCUAAAUGCGGAAGAGAUAAGUGCUGAAAGCAUCUAAGCACGAAACUUGCC